GUGGCGCGCGCCCCUCCCAAGCCCAGUCCGAAUUGGACAAGGGGUUUGGGGCGCGGCCCCCCUCUCCCUCCCUUCUCCUCUUCCCCCCUUUCUCCCCCUUCUCCUAGUUGGAGUAGGAAAGGAGGAAACCUACUCCAACUAGGAGUAGGAAUCCUACUCCCUUGGCGCGCCCCUCCUAGGGCCGGCCUCCUCCUCCCUUGCUCCUUUAUAUACGGGGGCAGGGGGCACCCCAUAGACACAACAAUUGAUCCCUUGGAUCUCUUAGCCGUGUGCGGUGCCCCCCUCCACCAUAACCCACCUCGGUCAUAUCGUAGCGGUGCUUAGGUGAAGCCCUGCGUCGGUAGAACAUCAUCAUCGUCACCACGCCGUCGUGCUGACGAAACUCUCCCUCAACACUCGGCUGGAUCGGAGUUCGAGGGACGUCAUCAGGCUGAACGUGUGCUGAACUCGGAGGUGCCGUGCGUUCGGUACUUGAUCGGUCGGAUCGUGAAGACGUACGACUACAUCAACCGCGUUGUGCUAACGCUUCCGCUUUUGGUCUACGAGGGUACGUGGACAAUACUCUCCCCUCUCAUUGCUAUGCAUCACCAUGAUCUUGCGUGUGCGUAGGAAUUUUUUUGAAAUUACUACGUUCCCCAACAAAAGUACCUGUGAGCAUGUAGGUUUGGUUGAAAUUGGUUACGACGACGUCGAGUUGGCGGCGGAGGCAGACUCAGCAUGAAGGCCAGCCGCCCGGCGGUGUGGAACGUAGUGGUAAUAAUACACACUCCGUUCCGAAACAAAGAAAGAGGUGUGUGGCGCACUCACGAGGGACUGCCAGUGAGAUACUGGAGGAAGGUGGGGAUGACGUGAAGUCUGCAUGGCCCUUAUGGGCGGGGCCACACACGUGCUACAAUGGCAAUGGCAAUGGGAAGCAAGGCUGUAAGGCGGAGCGAAUCCGGAAAGAUUGCCUCAGUUCAGAUUGUUCUCUGCAACUCGGGAACAUGAAGUUGAAAUCGCUAGUAAUCGCAGAUCAGCAUGCCGCGCUGAAUAUGUACCCGGGCCCUGUACACACCGCCCGUCACACCCUGGGAAUUGGUUUCGCCCGAAGCAUCGGACCAAUGAUCACCCAUGACUUCUGUGUAUCACUAGUGCCACAAAGGCCUUUAGUGGUCUUAUUGGCGCAUACCACGGUGGGAUCUUCGACUGGGGUGAAGUUGUAACAAGGUAGCAGUAGGGGAACCU
This 1224-nucleotide ribosomal RNA is filed under the name Aegilops tauschii subsp. tauschii. RNAcentral describes it as "bacterial SSU rRNA". The stretch from base 553 to 1224 matches the Rfam family "Bacterial small subunit ribosomal RNA", at positions 874 to 1513 of the family's 1533-position model. The record is from RNAcentral. Lineage: Eukaryota; Viridiplantae; Streptophyta; Magnoliopsida; Poales; Poaceae. RNAcentral also lists the same sequence under 1 other name.